RNAcentral lists this ribosomal RNA (477 nucleotides) under uncultured bacterium. Its description in RNAcentral is "bacterial SSU rRNA". It matches the Rfam family "Bacterial small subunit ribosomal RNA", at positions 33 to 507 of the family's 1533-position model. The record is from RNAcentral.
GACGACGCUGGCGGCGUGCCUAACACAUGCAAGUCGAACGGAGAGGACAUGAAGUAUUUCGGUACGGAAUGCUCUCUUAGUGGCGAACGGGUGAGUAACACGUGGGCAACCUGCCCCAGACUGGGGGAUAACAUUGUGAAAACAGUGCUAAUACCGCAUGACAGGGUUCCGGGCAUCCGGGACCCUUGAAAGGAGAAAUCCGGUCAGGGAUGGGCCCGCGUCCAAUUAGCUAGUUGGCGGGGUAACGGCCCACCAAGGCGACGAUUGGUAGCCGAACUGAGAGGUUGAUCGGCCACAUUGGGACUGAGACACGGCCCAGACUCCUACGGGAGGCAGCAGUGGGGAAUAUUGGGCAAUGGGCGAAAGCCUGACCCAGCGACGCCGCGUGAAGGAUGAAGGUCUUCGGAUUGUAAACUUCUUUGAUCAGGGAAGAAAGAAAUGACGGUACCUGAAAAACAAGCCACGGCUAACUACGUG